Long non-coding RNA from Stegodyphus dumicola, 447 nucleotides. RefSeq lists it as uncharacterized. The record is from RefSeq and is a predicted model, not a curated record. NCBI's taxonomy places the organism in Eukaryota, Metazoa, Arthropoda, Arachnida, Araneae, Eresidae.
AUUUAGACGCUCUUACUUCCUAUAAAAGGGUUUCUAUUACUUCGACACUCAUUCGUAUAGAAAAACAUAGAAACGAUUCAGUAUCCCUUAUAACUUUGAAUAGUAGACAAUAUGCUCAAAUUCUUGGUUUUCCUCCUGGUAAUCGGCGUCGCUAUAGCUGGAGUCAUUGACCAAGAAAAAGAUUAUUACCCAAAAUAUGAAUAUGUGCAGCCAGUAAAAAUCGUGAAAUAUCCUGUCCAAACUGUGAAGGUCAUCAGCGUUCCUCAGAAAUAUGUUGUACCACAUGAUUAUUCUUGUGAUUAUGACUGCUAGUAAUUUGUUUUACCUGUGAUUUAACAUAAAGAGUAAAAACAUUGUUAGAGCAUGUCUACGAAUUGCAUUGGUAGCAAAAAUAUAAUUGUAAUGUCUUUUCUUAAAUGAACAGAAUAAAAGUAAUAACAUACCGAG